This 272-nucleotide long non-coding RNA is filed under the name Lathyrus oleraceus (garden pea). Its description in RNAcentral is "Pisum sativum (pea) long non-coding RNA (PSAT_LNC023557)". Lineage: Eukaryota; Viridiplantae; Streptophyta; Magnoliopsida; Fabales; Fabaceae. The record is from RNAcentral.
UUCACGCUCUGGAGACAAGUCAUAGAUAUCUUUAGGAAAACAUUAGGAAUCACACACCACUUACAUAUCAAUAUCCGUCACAUUUCUCCUCACUCUCCGAGAAGCAAAUCUCAAUAAUACCUGAUGGUUCUCCCUCAAAGAUAUCUCAACUAGACCAGCUGACAGGAAUCUCGAACCCGCAUCCUCUUUGGAUUCAAAAAACUACAUUGGCUUAUCAAAACAAUUGGUAAACACUUUGUUUAACUCAAACUAAUUCAUUCCAAGAAUAACAU